This is a long non-coding RNA of Carya illinoinensis, 903 nucleotides long. RefSeq lists it as uncharacterized. Lineage: Eukaryota; Viridiplantae; Streptophyta; Magnoliopsida; Fagales; Juglandaceae. The record is from RefSeq and is a predicted model, not a curated record. The transcript has 3 exons.
GUGCAAACGAGUAUAUAAAGGAAACACCAAACAAAGAAGAAGAAAAAGAGCAAAUGUCUUUGAAGUCUAGAAAAUUAGGAGAUUGGAAAUUGUCGUGAGCAGCGGCAGCAGCCAUCCAUUGAGUGCUGAAAAUAAUAGCUUUUAACUCUGUGGUAGCAAUUUGGAAUUGAUGGAAGGAUCAUGGACUGAAAUCAAUGGAAUACUUGCCAAGCAUGGUUAUAAUAGUAAUAGCAAUGGUAACGAUAGCAAUGUCAGCAGCAGCUCGAGUGAUAGUGAUCACAUGAUGAACACAGCAGCCAGUGAACUUGAGGGAGAUGCUGACAAUUUAACAUGUAGACAGUCUGGUUUAUCUUAUAAUGAUCAUUCAGAGAAUGGCCCCAAAUUGAAGGGAUUGAUGUAGUUCUUUAAAUUGUUGAAGUAAAGGUGGGCGAGUCUCUAAUUGCCUAAACUAGUGUAAAUUAUUGUCUGACAAACAACUGUUUCCAGGGAGAGGCUUCGUACACAUCAUAGGUACAUUCAUAUGUAGCUAAUGAUUACAGAUAUGUUGCUUGUUAUGAACGAGCAGCUUGUUAUUUAUUCAAAAUUGUGAACUCCAAAUGCAGGACUGGCUUUUUUGAUCGUCAGUUAACUCAAAUGGUGCAGCUCUAUGUUAGCUAUUCUAUUUAUUACUUCAUUUCCAUCAUUUGUGCUAUUGAACCUCAAUCUUAUGAAUCCCAUUUUACUUUAAAAAUAUAGUUUGGUGGAUGCAAAUGAAAUUUUCUUCCAAAUUGAUUAUGCUAGCAUCAAAACAGUAUUGAGGCAACAAAAUAUAGUACUGAUGUACCCUUGAGAAUGAUGUCUUUGUUUAUUUAUCAGACUACAGUCUUACUUUUGAUACUGUUUAUUUUUCAUGAUUAUGCUACU